CUGAGACACGGUCCAGACUCCUACGGGAGGCAGCAGUAGGGAAUCUUCCGCAAUGGGCGAAAGCCUGACGGAGCAACGCCGCGUGAGUGAUGAAGGUCUUCGGAUCGUAAAACUCUGUUAUUAGGGAAGAACAUACGUGUAAGUAACUAUGCACGUCUUGACGGUACCUAAUCAGAAAGCCACGGCUAACUACGUGCCAGCAGCCGCGGUAAUACGUAGGUGGCAAGCGUUAUCCGGAAUUAUUGGGCGUAAAGCGCGCGUAGGCGGUUUUUUAAGUCUGAUGUGAAAGCCCACGGCUCAACCGUGGAGGGUCAUUGGAAACUGGAAAACUUGAGUGCAGAAGAGGAAAGUGGAAUUCCAUGUGUAGCGGUGAAAUGCGCAGAGAUAUGGAGGAACACCAGUGGCGAAAGCGACUUUCUGGUCUGUAACUGACGCUUAUGUGCGAAAGCGUGGGGAUCAAACAGGAUUAGAUACCCUGGUAGUCCACGCCGUAAACGAUGAGUGCUAAGUGUUAAGGGGGUUUCCGCCCCUUAGUGCUGCAGCUAACGCAUUAAGCACUCCGCCUGGGGAGUACGACCGCAAGGUUGAGACUCACAGGAAUUGACGGGGACCCCCACAAGCCGGUGGAGCAUGUGGUGUAAUUCUAAGCAACGCGAAGAACCUUACCAAAUCUUGACAUCCUUUGACAACUCUAGAAGAUAGAGCCUUCUCCUUCCGGGGACAAGAUGACAAGUGGUGCAUGGUUGUCGUCACCUCCUGUCGUGAGAUGU
RNAcentral lists this ribosomal RNA (770 nucleotides) under Staphylococcus haemolyticus. RNAcentral describes it as "bacterial SSU rRNA". It matches the Rfam family "Bacterial small subunit ribosomal RNA", at positions 319 to 1075 of the family's 1533-position model. Lineage: Bacteria; Bacillati; Bacillota; Bacilli; Caryophanales; Staphylococcaceae. The record is from RNAcentral.